Molecule: ribosomal RNA, 253 nt
Filed under: uncultured bacterium
Lineage: Bacteria
Description: partial 16S ribosomal RNA
Rfam family: Bacterial small subunit ribosomal RNA
Source: RNAcentral
UACGUAGGGUGCGAGCGUUGUCCGGAAUUAUUGGGCGUAAAGGGCUCGUAGGCGGUUUGUCGCGUCGGGAGUGAAAACACCGGGCUUAACUCGGCGCUUGCUUUCGAUACGGGCAGACUAGAGGCAUGCAGGGGAGAACGGAAUUCCUGGUGUAGCGGUGAAAUGCGCAGAUAUCAGGAGGAACACCGGUGGCGAAGGCGGCAUCCUGGACCGGCAUUGACGCUGAGGAGCGAAAGCCAGGGGAGCAAACGGG